RNAcentral lists this long non-coding RNA (1660 nucleotides) under Sus scrofa (pig). RNAcentral's name for it is "lncRNA (ENSSSCG00055021566.1)". The record is from RNAcentral. Lineage: Eukaryota; Metazoa; Chordata; Mammalia; Artiodactyla; Suidae.
UCUCUUGAUGGGGAUUUAGGCUACAGCACUGGGAAAAUAAUCAUGGGACUGGAUUUCAGGGCCCUGGCCACCUCAGCUCUUCAGGAAUGAAAAGCAUAAUGUUUUCCAUGGUGAUGCUGUGUCUCUACCUCCUCCCUCUGAACCUUGUGAGAGCCACGAACUAGGCUGGACUUUGGUGUCUGCCCUUCAGAUGAUUGGUGCCAUAAGAGGGCCACAAGCGGCACUAUUUCCAAGACAUGGAAACAACCUAAAUGUUCAUUGACAGAUGAGUGGAUGAAGAAGAUGUGGUACAUAUACACAAUGGAAUACUACUCAGCCAUAAAAAAGAACAAAAUAAGGCCAUUUGUAGCAACAUAGAUGGAACUGGAGAGUCUUAUACCAAAUGAAGCUUUUUAAUGUCAGCUCCAAAACUCGAAGCGUACAUAUCAGGAGCUUGGAAGAAAAGCCUGGAGAAAGAGUGGAGCACUCUUUUUAAUACCUGAUGCAGAUUACAUCUUCUGAUGCCCCCCAAGGUGCUAUUACAGAGGACAACAUGGACAUCAACACCUCUGAUUCAGAAAAAUUGAUCUCUGAAUGCUAUUAUGAAUAAUUGUGCCAUGUACAUGGGUGUUUGGAUAUCUUUGAGACCACACUUUCAGUUCUUUUGGGUAUAUGCCCAGAAGUAGAAUUGUUGGAUCAUAUGGCCAUUAAAAUAAAAACUAUUCAAGAAGUCAGCUGCUGCUAUAAAGGUCAUCUGGAAAGUCCAGGGAAGGACCCUGAGCUGCUGCUGGGAAAGAGAAAUUGUCCUCUGGCUCGUGAGCUGUCAUGUUUGUCUGCUGAGUGGCUUCAGUGGUUUCAUCUGUUGCUGAAAGAGCCAAGAGAGAGGGAUAAAACGGGACUAUAAUCCAUACCACAAUGAGCGGGACGGGACCAGCAGCCCAGAAGAAGCAAAAGGAAUCUUAAUGAAUUGGAGACAAUUGGAGAUGGUUUAUAAGGAUGAAGUUCAAAGGUUUUUCUUUAGAAGCCAUUGAGUUGGUAGUCUAGGAGAGCACCUUGUAGUGGUAUUUGCAUAAGGAGAAAGAUGUCAAAUAUUCAAAGAUGCCUUUACUCAAAGAGCCAGUGGCACUUAAGUGGCCAAAUAGCUUACAAGCACUUAUUAAGAUGAAUGGAUAAAGAAGAUGUGGUAUAGAUACACAAUAGAAUAUUACUCAGCCAUUAAAAGGGAAUAAACUAUUGCCAUCUGCAACAACAUGGAUCGAACCGGAGGGUAUUAUGAUAAGUGAAGUAAGUCAAAGACAAAUAUUGUAUGUUUUCACCUAUAUGUGUAAUCAAGAAAAAUAAAUGAACAAAUAUAGCAAAACAGAAAUAGACUCAUAGAUAGAACAUACUAGUGGUUUUCAAUAUUAAAAAAAUAUUGAAUCACUAUAUUGUAUAUGUGAAACUAAUAUGAUAUUGUAAGUUAAAUAGACUUCAAUUUUUAAAAAAAGUAAUUUUAAAAAACAAUAGAGGAGUUUCCACUGUGUGACUUCCAUGGCUCUGGUCACUGUGGAGGUGCAGGUUUGAUCCCCAGCCCAGUGCAGUGGGUUAAAGGAUUUGGCAUUGCCACUGCUGCAACUCGGAUUUAGUCCUUGGCCCAGGAACUUCCAUAGGCCGUGGGUGCAGCCAUUGGAAAAAAAAAAAA